RNAcentral lists this long non-coding RNA (689 nucleotides) under Homo sapiens (human). RNAcentral describes it as "HSALNT0322434". The record is from RNAcentral. Lineage: Eukaryota; Metazoa; Chordata; Mammalia; Primates; Hominidae.
CUUUUCUUUAGAAAAUAUACAUAAAGCUUGAUUAAUCCAUUUUUAAAUAUGUUUCACAGUAGAAAUAGAAUUGUGCUAGUUGAGCCACUGAGGCAGACAAAAGAUCGGUAUUUGGCCAGAUGUCACAGAGAAGAGAUGAUUCUGUGUUCAAAGAACAAGGUCACCAAAUUGCUCUUCCUUGCUUUUGUUCACUCUAAAAAUUUCGCACUAAUAGAACAUGUGGUUGAUGUACCUUGGGAUCAAAAUUCUUGCAUUUCUCGGCAUCACAUAUGCAUAAAAAAUACAUUUUGCCCAAAGAUAGUUUGUUCAUAUAAGGCUGAAGUGUCAAAUAAGUGGUGCAGAAAUUAUAGGAUUAUAUUAUAAUAUUUUAUCAUGGGGUAAUCAAAGAAGACAGAUAUUAAUCCUUCAAGUGCUUUGUGGAAGCUAUUUAGCUUUUCUUUCUUUCUUUUUUUAAUUGUAAGGAUUCCAAUUCCACUAUGAGGCAAAAUUUGAAGGGCGAUGCUUUACUUUCUUUCAUAAUAGUUGUUUGAAAGUUCUAAUUUUAAUCUCAUUGAGUUUUAUAUUUUGAGAACAAUAAACUCUUGUUUUAGGAGCAACAACAGUGGCUGGUUUAAUUUUAUCCUAUCUUUUUGUUCCCUUUAGCUGAGAGAGAGGGAGGGAGGGAGAGAGAGGGAGAGGGAGAGAGAGAG